GUCUAAGGCCAUAGCACCCUGAACGCGCCCUAUCUCAUCUGAUCUCGGAAGCUAAGCAGGGUCGGGCCUGGUUAGUACUUGGGUGGGAGACCACCUUGGCAUACCGGGUGCUGUAGGCU
RNAcentral lists this ribosomal RNA (119 nucleotides) under Bison bison bison. Lineage: Eukaryota; Metazoa; Chordata; Mammalia; Artiodactyla; Bovidae. The record is from RNAcentral.